CUGCAGCCCGAGUGGUGAUCGAUUUUAUUGAGCCUAAAGCGUCCGUAGCCGGACUAGUAAACCCUUGGGUAAAUUGGGCAGCUUAACUGUCCAAAUUCCGAGGGGACUACUAGUCUUGGGACCGGGAGAGGUCAGAGGUACUCAAGGGGUAGGGGCUAAAUCCUGUAAUCCUUUGGGGACCACCAGUGGCGAAGGCGUCUGACUAGAACGGAUCCGACGGUAAGGGACGAAACCCUGGGGCGCGAACCGGAUUAGAUACCCGAGUAGUCC
Molecule: ribosomal RNA, 270 nt
Filed under: uncultured archaeon
Lineage: Archaea
Description: partial 16S ribosomal RNA
Rfam family: Archaeal small subunit ribosomal RNA
Source: RNAcentral